Molecule: long non-coding RNA, 1353 nt
Filed under: Homo sapiens (human)
Lineage: Eukaryota; Metazoa; Chordata; Mammalia; Primates; Hominidae
Description: HSALNT0034739
Source: RNAcentral
GCCCGCCAUUCAGCAGGUCCUGACUUCUUGUGUGACAUCCAGAAGAAAGGGGUUACACAGACAGCUGGAGGGUGAGCAAAGUGGAGAAGUUCUCAGCAGAGAGGAGACUGGAGUGAGUUGCCCCUACCCGCAGGUGCCAACUGUAAUACAUCAGUAGCUGAACAGCUCAUUGCCCUCAAGUGUUCUUGCUCAUGCCUGGCUGAGUUAUUGAAGAAAUUGCUCAGAUCUCAAGCCCUUGUAGAUCACUGGUCCUGGCAGAUGUUGUUAUUCUAACGCAGAUACGUGAACAGAAAAGCCUGAACUAGGGAACUGACCAUGAAACUAAAAAGGAGAAAGCAUAUGCAAGUGGACACAAUGAUGAAGAAUUCUACAAGAAAGUAGAAACAUGACAGAAAGAAGAGUACAGGAGAACGGGUGAAACUUGAAAACUGAUAGAAAUGAUAGAACAGGAUCUAUACUUCUGCAGGUCACUGAAGUGAAGAGUUUGAUGUUCUUCCUAGAUCUUCAUAGACGUAGAAUUGCCUGUGUAAUCUCCUUACCUCACUAGUCUGCCCUGUCUUCCUUCUUGCUAGAUGAGAAAUAAAGAAAACAAGAAAAGCAAGGGAAAGGAGAGAAAAAAGGAGGGAUACAGCAAGAGGGAGAAAGAAAAGGACGAGAAAAUAAAUUACUAAAGGGAGAAAAGAAAAAGAAAAAAGAAAAAGCAGAGAAGAAGUUAAUCCCCUGGUGAAUUUUUCACAGGCUAUCUGGAACUCAAAUUCCAAACCAUAUUUGAGCAGGGAGAAAAAUCAGUGCACUUGAAGAUAAGACAAUGGAAAUUGAGUCUUGGAAGAAGAGGGAACAGAUUCUGUGGGACACAGCAAACAGACCACCAUGUGCAUUGUGGGAAUCCCCGAAGAAGAAGAAAAAGAAAAUGGAAUAAAAUACUCAAAGAAAUAGUGGCUAAAAACCUCUUAAAAAGACAGCAUUCAAGGAACCACCUUGUACGCAGACACUGAAACCUCGCGAGACAACAAAACUGCUGACACCUUGAUCUUGGACUUCCCAGCCUCCAGAACUAUGUGAGACAUAGAACUAUGAACCGAACACAAACCUGGGAGAAAAAAGAAAGACUGAAGUGGAACUAAAUAAUAUUGAAACCAACAAGCAAUACAAGGAACCAGCAAAGAGUACAUAGAACAAACAUUUUUUUUAGAAGGAUUAAAUGGGACAAUUAAACAAUUUGAUCAGCAUAAUGUCCAGCUCAAGGAUCUUGGAGGUGGUGAGGCAGCCCAAGUGGAAAGGCAGCAGAAGGGGUAUCCUUGUUUUACCAAUUACUCAUAUGUAGGAGAUGGUGCAUUAAAUGAAAUAUUCUCU